This 128-nucleotide ribosomal RNA is filed under the name Escherichia coli. RNAcentral's name for it is "partial 23S ribosomal RNA". It matches the Rfam family "Bacterial large subunit ribosomal RNA", at positions 2803 to 2925 of the family's 2925-position model. The record is from RNAcentral. Lineage: Bacteria; Pseudomonadati; Pseudomonadota; Gammaproteobacteria; Enterobacterales; Enterobacteriaceae.
GAUGAGUUCUCCCUGACUCCCUGAGAGUCCUGAAGGAACGUUGAAGACGACGACGUUGAUAGGCCGGGUGUGUAAGCGCAGCGAUGCGUUGAGCUAACCGGUACUAAUGAACCGUGAGGCUUAACCUU